RNAcentral lists this ribosomal RNA (364 nucleotides) under uncultured eukaryote. RNAcentral describes it as "partial 18S ribosomal RNA". It matches the Rfam family "Eukaryotic small subunit ribosomal RNA", at positions 592 to 976 of the family's 1831-position model. The record is from RNAcentral.
CAAAAGCGUAUAUUAAAGUUGUUGCAGUUAAAAAGCUCGUAGUUGAACCUUGGGCUUGGCUGGCCGGUCCAUCUUUUUUGAUGCGUACUGGACCCAGCCGAGCCUUUCCUUCUGGCAAGCCUUUUGGCGAACCAGGACUUUUACUUUGAAAAAAUUAGAGUGUUCAAAGCAGGCCUUUGCUCGAAUAUAUUACCAUGGAAUAAUAGAAUAGGACGUUAUGGUUCUAUUUUGUUGGUUUCUAGGACCAUCGUAAUGAUUAAUAGGGACGGUCGGGGGUAUCAGUAUUCAGUUGUCAGAGGUGAAAUUCUUGGAUUUACUGAAGACUAACUACUGCGAAAGCAUUUACCAAGGACGUUUUCAUUAA